UGUUUCCACCACUUCACGCGGUUUUACAUAUUCCUUACUUGUGCAAUUUGUUUGUUUCUUUUUCAAUUCAAUUUUGUUUCUCCUUCUAGCCUCUCGCGUCGGUUCUUGUUCCUUUCGUGGCGUUUGGUGCUUUCAAUCCUUGCAUUCCAUAUUUUAAUUUUUUGUAAAUAUUUUUCAAUCCGUUUUUUGUUUGGUUUUCAGUUCACGAAGGGGACGUUCGUGAGACGAUUGGUGAUCCUUCAACGACCUAAAUUUUGUAUAAUUGUUACCCCUUUAGUGGCAAGGGUUUCAUCAAUUAUGUUUUGGAAGGUGUGGAAUUAUUCGGUUGUGGAAUUACAUCAGAAAAUAUUCAGGCUUAGGCGGGUCAAUGCAAUCGGGAGCUCCAUUAAUGUUAUAAUAUAUUUAAAUUCAAUUUAUCUAAAUUUUGGUAUUUGAGUUUUAUAAA
Gossypium arboreum is the source of this 445-nucleotide long non-coding RNA. RefSeq lists it as uncharacterized. The record is from RefSeq and is a predicted model, not a curated record. Lineage: Eukaryota; Viridiplantae; Streptophyta; Magnoliopsida; Malvales; Malvaceae. The transcript is spliced from 4 exons.